Molecule: long non-coding RNA, 510 nt
Organism: Vicia villosa (hairy vetch)
Lineage: Eukaryota; Viridiplantae; Streptophyta; Magnoliopsida; Fabales; Fabaceae
Exons: 3
Source: RefSeq, a predicted model, not a curated record
AUAGAUAUUGGAGUCAAUCAACACAAGAGCCAGUCUCCUUGUUGGACCAAAGAGAUUAAUCCGUUGUGUAUUAAUUAACACUGAAUAUAUUGCAGGCUUUGAGUGAGAAAGGCUAUGAACUUGUUUCCGGUGGGACUGGAAAUCAUCUAGUUUUGGUGAAUUUGAAGAAAAAGGAACUCUUGCUCUUACUUCAAGGGGAUUUGUUGAGGAGGAUUUCGUUAAGGUUGCAGAGUAUUUUGAUGCAGCUGUGAAUUUGGCUUUGAAGGUUAAGGCAGAGAGCAAAGAUAUCUUUGGGCAACUUUGGGCUAAAAUAUUUUUGCAACUGGUUAAAAAUAAAAAGGUUGAGGAGCAAAAUCUACAAGAUCAAAUGCAAAUGGUUGAAGAGGAUAAAGACAUAGAAAUGUUGCCAAAACCAAAGCCAAAGAAGAAGAAAAAAACUUAUAUAUGAAGAAAGUGUUAUGACUUAGUUAAAAUAUGAUAUUUAUGUGUAUGAUUUUAUAGUACUUGAAA